UAAAUAACUGGACCUUCGACUUUACUCAUGUUAGGAUGAGGUUCUCCUCCUGUUCCUAACAUGGCUGUGUUUCAAUUGUCCGAAGGGGUUACUCCCUGUCGUUACAAAUUCAUGCCAAAAGAAAAAUAUGCAAAUAUGAAAAAAACUUUGAUAAGACAAAGUUAUUAGUAAUACAUUCAUAGAUUUUUUGAAUCCCAUAGUCGCA
RNAcentral lists this long non-coding RNA (205 nucleotides) under Elaeis guineensis (African oil palm). RNAcentral describes it as "long non-coding RNA (EGUI_LNC037573)". The record is from RNAcentral. Lineage: Eukaryota; Viridiplantae; Streptophyta; Magnoliopsida; Arecales; Arecaceae.